RNAcentral lists this unclassified non-coding RNA (257 nucleotides) under Hevea brasiliensis (rubber tree). The record is from RNAcentral. Lineage: Eukaryota; Viridiplantae; Streptophyta; Magnoliopsida; Malpighiales; Euphorbiaceae.
AAAAGAUCGUGAAGGUGAGGUCCAAAUUUUGAAGGAACAAAGUGAUGUUGUUGAGGAGGUUGUGGAUGAAGUGGUGCAUGCUUAUCAUAGUGGGUUCAACAAAGCAAUUCAAAAUUAUUCUCAGAUCUUGCGGUUAUUCAGUGAAUCUGCAGAAAGUAUUGUCACACUAAAGGUCGAUUUGGCUGAAGCAAAGAAGCGUCUUGGCACCCGGAACAAACAAUUGCAUCAGCUAUGGUAUCGGUCUGUUACCCUGCGGC